This 582-nucleotide long non-coding RNA is filed under the name Monodelphis domestica (gray short-tailed opossum). RNAcentral's name for it is "lncRNA (ENSMODG00000035470.2)". Lineage: Eukaryota; Metazoa; Chordata; Mammalia; Didelphimorphia; Didelphidae. The record is from RNAcentral.
AUGGAAAGUGGGCUUUCAGAAACUGGCAUUGGCACAUGCCAAGAACUUUGGAGAAAGCAUUCUAGAAGCCAGGGGGUAGAGAAAGAAGGGUUAAUGGAUAGACAACUGUUACUUGGUACUUGGUCUUUGGUCUUGGUCUUGAACUGCCAUUUUGAUCCUGGUGCUGCCCAAACAGAGGGAGGAAGAGUUGCUUCUAGAACCUUUUCCUAUCUCAAGUCUUUGGAGAACAAAGGAAAACCCUUCAAUACUUCCCUGUGGUUCCUGAUCAGCAAAGAGCAGUUUGGAGCAGUUCUGGUUAUCCCUGUUGUCUUUCAAGAUUGUUUUACAGAAGCACUUGAAGAAGGAUGAAUUGGUUUCAAUUCCUCAUGAAUCUGAAAUGAAGUAUUUCAAUCAGAAAGACAAGUGAAGAUCUAAAGAAAACAUUGGAGAUAUAGAGAUCUCAUCAACCAAUUAACCUGGAAGGAAAAUACAUCAUAUAGAAAAUGAAAAGAAAAAUAGAUAACUGAGAAUGAAUACAAAAGUGUAAUGUUUGGUAAUACAAUAUUAAUGACAUGAACAAUAAAACAGCAUACUUUAAGAGCA